Molecule: long non-coding RNA, 834 nt
Organism: Rosa rugosa (rugosa rose)
Lineage: Eukaryota; Viridiplantae; Streptophyta; Magnoliopsida; Rosales; Rosaceae
Exons: 3
Source: RefSeq, a predicted model, not a curated record
UUGAGACUCGGCGACCCGAUCACGUGACCCGACCGGAGUGACGCCGUCCGGCCACCGAUCGACGACGCACGACCACCGAUGUCUUCCUCUCGUCAUCGCCGUCACGUCUGCGGUCUCGGACCGCCCAUGCACUCGGCGAGGAGGGAGAAUCGACGGUGAGAAGACUUGACUGCUCCGGUGAAUUUCUGCGAUUUCCGGCCUCCGUCUGGACCGCAUUCGGUAUGGAAAUUCCUCUUCUCGUCUUCCUCUAUCCGUCUGUGCAAUUAGUUUUUGAUUGGGAUUAAGUUUUGAUGGUUUCGCUCAAGUUUUAAUGAUGGGUGGUUUUGGGUGUUUUACGGGUUCUGUCGAAACCACCGUGCACGGCGGCUUUUUCUGGGCUCCUUGGUUUAAUUUCGACGUUGAUGAUGAACCUACAGCAGGAACUCGGGCUUGGUCAAUCUAAAUUUCAUCUAUUGAGAAGUGAGAUGCAAACCCGAGCGUGAUCGAAGAGUAGCAAGACUAUUAACCUGGAAACUAGAAUGCUUCCUGCAUGGAGUUUGUGUUCGCAGCAACUCAGACUUAAUCACCAUGAUUCAUGCAAUUGAGGACUCCAGUUACCCGAGGAACGGAAGGUUCGCAACUCUCGGAGUACGUGAGAGAAAGCGUCGGAAUCCAGUAUGGAUGCAGGUACUGUGCACUGGUGACGGGACAAUGGCGGACGGAGCUGGGUGUGCAGAACAAGUUGGUAAACCCCCUUCUGGGCUUUAUCCUGAUUACUAUUUCUCGAACUUUGUGUCCUGAAACUUGUGUGAAACUAUUCUUGGGUCAAACCUAGCUAAAUUCUUAUUCCUUAAA